This 68-nucleotide transfer RNA is filed under the name Pylorgus porrectus. Its description in RNAcentral is "tRNA-Asn". Lineage: Eukaryota; Metazoa; Arthropoda; Insecta; Hemiptera; Lygaeidae. The record is from RNAcentral.
UUAAUUGAAGCCAAACUAGAGGCCUUCUAUUGUUAAUAGAAUAAUUGAUUUAUAAUAAUCCAAUUAAA